Molecule: ribosomal RNA, 330 nt
Filed under: uncultured Herminiimonas sp.
Lineage: Bacteria; Pseudomonadati; Pseudomonadota; Betaproteobacteria; Burkholderiales; Oxalobacteraceae
Description: bacterial SSU rRNA
Rfam family: Bacterial small subunit ribosomal RNA
Source: RNAcentral
UGCGCAGGCGGUUUUUUAAGUCAGCUGUGAAAUCCCCGGGCUCAACCUGGGAAUGGCAGUUGAGACUGGAAGGCUGGAGUGUGUCAGAGGGGGGUAGAAUUCCACGUGUAGCAGUGAAAUGCGUAGAGAUGUGGAGGAAUACCGAUGGCGAAGGCAGCCCCCUGGGAUAACACUGACGCUCAUGCACGAAAGCGUGGGGAGCAAACAGGAUUAGAUACCCUGGUAGUCCACGCCCUAAACGAUGUCAACUAGUUGUCGGGACUUAAUUGUCUUGGUAACGCAGCUAACGCGUGAAGUUGACCGCCUGGGGAGUACGGUCGCAAGAUUAAA